Papaver somniferum (opium poppy) is the source of this 1103-nucleotide long non-coding RNA. RefSeq lists it as uncharacterized. Lineage: Eukaryota; Viridiplantae; Streptophyta; Magnoliopsida; Ranunculales; Papaveraceae. The transcript has 7 exons. The record is from RefSeq and is a predicted model, not a curated record.
CUCGUUGACUUCCCUCUUCAGUCUUCAACGCAACAUGAAAUUUCCUAUCAAACACUGGCAUUUGAGAAACAGCCUAAUGGAAAGAACGAGGGACCGGUUUCUGUUGGUUACAGUACAAUGAUUUUUUUGGAUCAAUUAGUUCUCCAAGAUCGGUGAAUUCCUUCUUUGGUUGAAGCUUCCUUCUUUGUUGAAUAACAACAGGGCAACAAAUGGAUUUUGAUUAGUGCAGAGCGUUUCAAGUUGCGAUUAAUAUAGACGCGGCUGUGGUUUUUCAAACCAUAAAAAACAUGCUUGCUUCUUCAGGUGGUUUUGCAUAGCCGCAACGUGGAGAAAUAACAGAUAUAAGUAUUGUUAUCUUGGAGAAGAUUUUUCAGUAUUUUUAUCUGUCUCUUCAAUUCGCCAGGUCAAGCACCUAAGGAUGUAUCAUAUGUAAUACUCAAUAUGACUAAAGAGUGCAGUCCGUAUUUUGUUCACGAGUAACACAAUUGUCAGACAGUGCUUGGGCAUUCUGCAUUCUGCUGUAAUUGCAUUUUUAGUCGCCUACUAGAGCUUUUUUCCAAUUGUAAUUCUUUUUAUAUGAUUGUUGUUAGAAUGUAUGCAGUUUCUGAGAUUUUUUCUAUUUUGUCUGUGUCUGUCUCAAAAUGGUGUAUUCGUUUGUAGUAUCAACGACGUUUCAGGGCAGAAAAGCACCUUGGAAAUCCCUAUGACAUGCUAUUUAAAGCCACUGAGGUUUCUCUUGAACUACAAUAGUGCCUGACACUUCCUUCUGCUGACAAAAGCUAUUUGUUCUCAUUGUUGAUCACACAAAGUACUUUAGAUUUCAGGUUCCUUUGACCAGGAAAAAAAUGGAGUUGCAGCAGUCCAUAUGGAAUCCAACAGUGAAUGUAAGCAAGCCAGAGCUUCCUAUGGCCUAACUAGUAGACCUGAAAAGGCAGGAUGUCUAGAUCAUUUUGAUCAUGGUUGAAAAUAUACAACCACGAGUCCAAAUACUUACGUCUUAUUGGACUUUUCAUUGGUUUUUUAGUUUAUUUUGAGUGAUCUCAAGGUGCCUAUACUAUUGUUCUCUCCCGAAAUUAAUUAUAUCUAAUGCAGUUCGUGGACCA